AUCCUCAAAAGGCCAGGUAGUUGACAAAGCUGUUUGGCGCAAUCUAACAUAUGUGAGGGGUUCUUCCACGAAUGUUACGUAAGCGGCGGUAGUGCAGCAUGUCGUGGAUGAAGCGGCAAGGCAGCGCGCCACCGCCGAGCUCCGAGCACCAGGCCUACGCUGCAUCUCAGCCAUAUGGGAACCAACAGGAUAUGUAUCCAAAUUAUCCCGGUGCACCACCAACAGCUCAGCAACAGCAAAUGUGGCAAAUGCCACAACAACAACCACAGUAUAAUCAACAAUAUGGCCAAGUUUAUCAGCAGCAACCAUUUGUUAACAACACUAACCAGUACUUCCAACAGCCACAGCAAUAUAAUCAACACUAUCCUAAUCAAAACUUUGAUAAUGCACAGCCUUCGUACCAGCAAAAUUAUUACCAAAAUCAAAUGCCACAACCACAUCAACAACAACAGCAACAACAACAACAUCAACAACAAAAUUUUGCACAAAAUGAAGGUAAUGCUGAUGGAUGGGAAGAUAACUGGAAUUGGGGGUGGGAAGAUUCUUCUAAACAACAUCAAAAGCCUAUGACGCAGACUGCGUCUACUCAGCCAGCUUUACAGCCUCCAGUUUAUAAUAAUGCUAAUGUAAUAGAAGAGAGCUUUGCAUCAACGAAUAGCUGGAAUUGGUCUACAGAAGAGAAAAAAGAUACUGAUCUGCAACAAACAAUAUCUCAACCCAAUCAAGACGAUCAAGAGAAAACUGUACACAUUGAUAAUUCUAACCACGAGAACAAUGUGGCAAACGAACCAAACAUUCAAAGAAGGGCCAGUAAUAUUUCUGCACACAGCACACACGAUGAAAUAAAAACAUUAAACGACAAAGAACUUGUAAAAGAGGCAUUACCGAAUUUAGCUUUAGGAAAGCGCUUUAAUUUAGAAAAUUUAACACCUCAGUGGUCUAUUGAGUCACAAAUGUCCCAGGAUUCUAGUGAUGGACCACAUACACAAUCGGAGGGCACAUACAGGAGCGAGAACCAGUCCAGGAAUUCUAGUAAAAGUAGCCCAGGACCAAACACUGACACGGCAAAUUUUAACUAUUCUCAGUCUAGUUUUAAUGAAAAUGUAAUAAACAGUGAAUGGUCGAACCAUUACACUGAGGAGUCUAAGCUAGUCGGUAAUAUUCAAAGUAAUAGUAGAAGAGAGAGCUGUGAUGAAUUAGUUAAUUCUAUACAGGAUAUGAAUAUAGCUAAUCAUGAAAAUGUAUCUCUAGAUGCUCAACAUUCUAGCCAUAAUGUUGAAAAUAUAUCAGAUACUAAACAGAUGAAAGCACCCGUUCCAUCUAUAUCUCCAAAUCCCAUGGCAUCCAAUCAAUAUAUUUCACAACCAUCUAUGCCCCCUCCACCUCCUGUCUCUACUCAAUACUUAUCACACAAUAUAUCACCAUCUAUAUCUACUAAUAAUUCUGAACAAAUGGCUCCGUCUCUACCUGCAGCCAAUAUUACACCAUCAUCAUUAUCAUCAUCAAUUGCGCAACCUCCUAGCCAGCCACCAACUAUAUCAACGAUGCCUUUACCCCCUACAACGAACUUUCCAACUUCUUCGAGUCAGAAUCCAUUCAAAAAUGCUGCACCAUUUUCACAUAAAAAUAUUUCUAAAGUGCCACCUGUGAAUCCUCAGCCUCAGGCAUAUGCACCUCCAAACUCUAACCAAAUCUUAACUUCACCAGCUGCUGUUAGUAAAGUUGUUCAGCAAGACAGGCUCUCUGCUAACUUUGGAGCUAAUUUGGAAACCACGCCUGAUAAUUCAGAGAGACCUGAUCAACCACAGGUAUCAAGCUACAGAUCAAUGCCUUUACCUUCGCAGGUACCUGAUAACUUGGAAAUAGCCCCACAGAAUGAUAGAAAUGAGUAUUUACAAACUGCCCAUUUAUCUAGUGUGGACUAUGGUGAAAAUACAGAUUUUAGUCGUAAUAUCCCCCCACCAGGGCUAAGAAGAAUGGGCGUGGGACAACAAGAGGUGGAAUACAAUCAGAAUUUAAAUAUUUCUGGUGAUGAGCCUCCUCCGGGCUUAGCGCGAAUGGUGCCUGGUCAGCAGACAGAAACUCAUAAUUCCUACAAUCAAACAGCCGAUGACUACAUGGACCGACAAAUUGACGGGCAACCGACUGAUAGUGAUCGACCUUACAGGCAAGCUGAUGGCCAACAAAUGCCCGAUACCUACUCGCAAACAGUAACUACAAGAGGAGGCGAUAGAAGACCUGUGGGCUUGGAUAGGAUGGUGCCCGGGGAGCCAAGUAAUGAUGAAUAUCCUCAAUAUCAAACUCAGAAUUUUGCUUCUGCAAAUGAACAAAGAGUUGUCACUGGAGUUGAUCGUGACUAUCCAAUAUCACCCGACGCGGGACCAACCGACAUUCGCGAGCAAAACGUGGACGGUUCCGACUAUACUGAACCUCCUGCGAGGAAUCCAUCGAGGAGUAUAAUCGGAGCAAGAGAAGCUAGUAAUGCCACAUCUCCUGAUUUCAGCCUAUCUGUUGAUGAUCAACAAAGAGAGAUCACAAUGGAAGGCGAAAAUUUGCAAGAUUUGAGCGUCGUUUCAUCGGUAGAUAUGUCUUUUUCGAGGGAACCGACGUACGAUGGCUCCAAUGCCAAUACGGUGGAACCGACAAAAGAUCGUAACCAUGAUGCUACAGACGCAACUGAUUACCCAACUAACGAUUCGAGAAGACAAUCUCUGAAUCGCGCCACCUCAGGUGAGGAUUCGGAGAGAGACCGAGCUUUCAAAGGAUCCCCGAGAAAAGACAGGGACAAACAAAAGUCUUCAAGAGAUCGAGACAGGGACAGGGAUAAAGAAAGAGGUCGAUACUCUCGAGGCGAAAGAAAAUACGAGCGCGAAUCUGAGAGGCGAUCGGGCAGAGACGAGCGGCGUCCCGACAAAGACAGGCGGGACAGGGACAGGGACAGGGACAGGGACUGGGAUCGGGAAAGACGCGACAAAGACGGCAGCCCUGAAGGUAGACGACACCGACGCAGCACUCGAAGCCACCGAUACGAGACCGAAGACACCGACUACUACAGCGACCGAGAGAAAAAUCGGAGGCAAUACAGAGAGGGGUCGUACACGUCGUCCCGGCCGCCGCGCGGGGACGACAAGGAGCGGCGGCGCCACCACACGCUGGAGCGCGAGCGCCACGCCGACGAGCGCGCGCGCCGCGAGCGGCCCCGCGAACACUCCGACCGCCGCUACCGCGACAUCGACCCGCGCAAGUACGCCUCGCUGCGCCGCGAGCGGGACGACGGCGACCGCAGAAAAGUCGUAACGUUCAGUGGCGAUGCUAAAACUGCUAGUAGUAGAAGCAAAGACGAGACGUACUCGUCGGGCUCCCGCGCCGGCUCGCGCGAGGCCACGGCCACGGACGAGGAGGCCGACGAGCCGCGCCGCCGCGCGCACCGCGACGAGUGGCGCCGACAUCGGCACCAUCACUACUAUGAUGCUGACCGAGCAGUGUCGGGCGGCGCGCCGGGCGCGGGCGGCGCGGGCGCGUGGGGCUCGGCGCUGGAGGCGCAGCGCCGCCACUACGAGUACUACGAGCGCCUGAGCCGCACCGACCCCGCCGCCUACAUGCGCCUCUACAAGCAGCUGCUGACGCCCGGCCUCUACGGCAACCUCUACGCGGACGGCUACGGCCAGCUCGGCUACGAGGCGCGCACGGAGGAGCGCGGCAGCGUGCACUCGGGCCGGUCCAGUGCCAACGGACUCAAGCCCGCAGACACGUACUACGGCAGCUCGCGAGCCGCGCGCGACGCCCUCUCGCUGCGCACUGACCUCUCCGACAGGGAGCUGACGACGGACAUGUCGCUGAACCUGCACCUCGACGAGUCCACCGUGCGCUCCGAGCGGAUGACGCCCUUCAAGUACUCCACGGCGCACGUCAAGGGCGUGCUGGGCGCGCGCGCGCUGGUGCUGCUGAGCGCGGGCUGGCCCGUGGACGGGCGCGCGCCGCCGCUGCAGCUGCUGCCGCUGGCGCGCCUGCUGCAGCGCGACCCCGCCGCCGCCGCGCUCGCCGCCUACCCGGGCCCGCUGCUCAGAGGCGUCACCCACAAGAAGAGCGUGGUGGAGUACUGCGAGUCGCGGGUGCGCAGCGCGCGGCAACGCGACGGCGGCGACGUCAUCGGCUACGCGCUGCUGUGGGACCUGCUGGCGCUGAUGCUGCGUCAGAACGGGGUGGUCGUUGGUUCGGAUGUUGCCGAGUUGCUAAUGAAGAACACGAAAGAGUUCGAGUACAAGAUACCGUCCGACAAGAGUACAGAGAAGGGUGGCUCGCUGUCUUCGGGUUGUGUCGAGGCAGAGGGGGAGGAGGAUGGGGAGUGCGACUUGCCCUCGAUGCUGGCAGAAGAGGAUGCGAAGGUCAAACCCGUCGUCGAUGAAAAAGAGGCGCUCGAGCGCUACCGAGAGUAUCUCAUUUAUGGCAACCGGCAGGAGGCCCUCGAGUACGCCAUGGACUGCGGGCUGUGGGGCCACGCGCUGCAGCUGGCGGCGCACGGCGAGCGGCGCGCGCGGGCCGCCGUCAGCGCGCGCUUCGUGGCCUCGCUGGCGCACCGCGACCCGCUGCACUCGCUGUACGCCGCGCUGGCGCUGCGCGCGCCGCCGCUGCUGGCCGUGAGUGUCCACCUCGCCCCGCCGCUCGCCCCGCCGCUCGCCUCGUGCGAUACGAACGUUCAACCCGCCAUGUCCCCGCAGGGCGCGGCCGACCCGCGCUGGGGCGACUGGCGCCCGCACGCCGCCAUGCUGCUCGCCAACGCCAGCGCGCGUCCCGACCACGACCGCCGCACCAUGACGCAGCUCGGCGACACGCUCAGUGCGCGCGGGCUGCCGUACUCCGCGCAGUUCUGCUACCUGUCCGCGGGCGAGCCGCUCUCCCCGCACCCGCUGGCGCCCCUGCGGCCCACCGCCGACCCCGCCGCGCCCGUCUCCGCCCCGCGCCUCUCGCUGCUGCUGGCCGACCCGCGCGCGACCACGCUGGCGCGCUUCGCCACCAACGAGGCGAUAUUCGCCACCGAGAUAUACGAGUACGCGCUGUCGCUCGGCUCGGCGCAGCAGGACCACGUGCUGGACGAGCUGACGGUGUACAAGCUGGUGCUGGCGACGCGGCUGGCGGACGUGGGGCAGUGCGAGCGCGCGCUGCGCUACGCCGAGCGCGCCGCGCGCGCGCUGACGCGGUCGCCGCGCCGCGCGCCCGCGCUCACGCUGGCCGUGGCGCAGCUGGCCGACCGCCUCAAGUACUACGACCCCGCGCUGCAGGACGACGCGGCCGACGACGCGGGCUCGGCGCCCGAGGACGCCAGUGCUGACGCCUCGCCGCGCCACCAGCGCUGGCUGCACGAGCUGCAUGCCGUGGCGGCGCAGCUGUCGGCGGAGGCGUCGCAGCAGCACACCCCGCAGCACCGCGCCGAGCCCUACGCGGAGCCCUACGCCGACGGAACGCAGUACGCUCAGUGGGACCAGACCCUGCACCAGACGCAGCCGAUUCAAAAGUAUCCUGAACCCGUGGAAGAUACCCCUGACUACGCCGCCCAGUACUACCAGCAGCAAGGCCAGCUGCAGCAACAUCAGCAGUUUCAGUCGCAGCCGCAACCACAGCAGCUAGUCCCGGAAUCCGCGCAGGAGCAGCAUCACCAACAACCGCAGCAACAGCAGCAGCAGCAGCAGCAGCAGCACUACGAGCCGCAGUACGGCUACGAGGAACAGGCGAACUCGUACGCGGACCCGUACUGGCAGCCCGACGCGCACUACGGGUACAACGAGAGCGCGGAGAGCUCGCGGCCCACCAUCACCAUGCCGGGGGCCACGCGCGCGCCGCGGGAGGACGAGCGCGCCGAGUCCGCAGACCAAGUCGAUCGGGACUCCGACAGUCCGCAGUCCAACGGCAAGGAGGGCAGGAGCGAGGGCGGCGCUAAGGGCGAGCGGCGCGGUGCGGGAGGGGGCGCCGGCGGCGGCGGAGGGGGCGGCGGCUGGCUUGGUGGCAUCCUCACCAAGCUUUCGCUGCGGGCCCCCAACCAGAUGAUCCUGCCCGACGACACCAACCCCACCAUCGUGUGGGACGAGCAACACAAGCGCUGGCGGGACAUGGACGCCGCCGACGCGGACGCGCCUGCCCCCCCGCCACCGCCCCCCACGGGACUAAGCACGUCGACUCCGCUGCAGUCCCCGGCGGCGCUCGGGGCGCCCCCGGCCAUGCCCGUAUCCAACAUCUUUAAAAUGCAGAGAGGACGACACAUAAAGAAGUCGUACGUGGACGUGCUGAACCCGGGCGGCGCGCGCGUGGCCGCCGCCGCGCCGCCCGCGCCCCCCGCGCCCGCCGCGCCCGCCGGCCCGGCGCCCGCCGAGUACUUCGUGCCCGCGCCGCCCGCGCCGCAGGUCGCUACUCGCCCAUACUCAGAUUCACAAUUAAUGUAGAUUCAGCCCCCAACUUUUAUCCUGUUGAUAUAUUUUACUAAAACGAGUUGUCCCGUCCCUCUGCAGCCAUAGAUUACUAUUUCCUCUCCGGUAAUCUUCCAUGACCGUUCCUAUGUAAUGUUCAGCGAAUGCUCGAGCCGGUGCAAGUAAAUAUUCCGUCCUCUCCCGAAGACUCCCCCCUUCCCACUCCGACGCCGCCGCCGACGGAGGGCGGCAUCUACGACCCGGCUCUGAUCACGGCCAACAACGACGAUUUCCGAAGUGGGAUUUAAAUUUGCUAUAGAAAUAUCAAUGGAUUCAAAUUUAUAACUCGAUAAUAUAUUCCUUUUAAAUAAUAUGAAAAGACAGGGUUGUUAUAGUAAUUAGUUUAAGGGUACACCGACACACCAACGCGAUCGGACGAUACGGAAGCGACAUCGGAAACUAAAUCAUAAAGCGACGGCCGCACCGUAAUCGUGCGAUCGUGAAAGCUGCAUUUCCCUUCGUCAGUUCGGUCGCGGAGAUGUGUUCAAAACUUUAGAACGUGUUAUUUUUAUGUUAAUAUAACAUAUUACAUUCCUCUAUAGAUUUACAAAAUCUUUAUUUUUACAACAUAAUCUUUAUUAAAAAUAUUCUGUAUGUAACAACCCUGAAUUGCACUCUUGCAACUUGCAAACACAAGUUUUGGAAUCGACCGCGACCGGCGAGGUAAUGUUAUUAGAAUGUCUCGUGAUUUAUCGCGCUCCUCUGAUAGUACUUAGUUUGCCACUUAAUGAUUUUAUUCAAAUUUUCUUGUCAAGCUGUUUUGUGUGUCCCAUUUUCAAGUAAAGUUUUACAAUUUGUUAUUUUUGUUAAAGUUACGGUCAUACUAGCCUUAGAAACGACGAUUAACUAGUGUCAUGACUAGAUGAGGUAUAUAAAAUAUUUGUUAAUCUGCUCCCACACAGACGAUUAAUUCUACAAGGCAAUAAAUUAUUAGGAAAAGUAUACUAUUAUAAAAAACAAUGUAAUGAUUCUCAAUGUGUGUGUUUUGUACAUCAAAAUAAGAUAAUUUAUAAUCGAGUGAGAAUACAUUUAAAAAAAAAUUAUCUGCGUAAUAAAAGUUUUUAUCGAAAAGGUUAACAAAUAGUGUUGACGCUUGGCGUUCUUACGAUUAUCCGGAUUGUUUCCUUUCGUAGAUGUAUUAGCGACCUUACACACCUGCGCUACUAAGCAAAGCGGAAGGGCAGUACCUAUUUUGUCUAUAUUUGCUUCAUUGUAGUCGUAACUCUACGGACCGCUCCGCUUCGUAUCGCUGGUUUGUUCGAAGUAGGACAACUAUACAUUAGUUAAUUAGUUCUCAUUUCGACUCCGAGUUAGAUAUAUUUUACUUUGUGUAAAUUAAUGCUAUCUUUGUCAAUGUUUUAUUUGAUUUAAAUGUUUUCCCCUGUUCUGGACGUUCAGUUUUACUAUUUAAAAUCAAGAAGUAAGAUUUAAACUAAAGUGUCGAUAACAAUCAUAGUUAAUUAUAAAAUCCCACGCUUUAUCUGUUUUACAAAAAAAAAGUUAUAUCAUAUUUACUUUUGGCAAGAAAAACUGGUUAUACCGGGAGUCGUCUAAUGGUAACACUAUUUUAGAAUAGAUUAAAUGAAUUUUUAUUAUUAUAUAAAUUGAAAAUGAAAUUGGUAUUAUAUUUAUGUUAAUUCUUUACAUUUUAUCUCUUAGGAUCAUAGUUUCCUUCAAUUAUUUUCUCUUAAAUUAUGGUGCAAUAGAAUCGGUCUUCAUUUUUUCAUCUCAAUUAUAGACAAUAAACGUUAGAAAUCUUCUAGAAUAUUCUUUCUUUAGACAUUUUCAUUUUAAUGUUCUAUGUAAAAAUAAGAUUUAAAGGUUAUGUACAGAUAAUGUUGUUUUAUAUAUCGAGAAUGAUAGAGGGCGAGGCAGGUUGUAUAGAGGUAGGGGGUAGGGGGAGGUCGUAGCGACGGACUGGCGCUACUAUGUUCGUGUAUUUGUAUAAAGGUGUAAUGAUGACGAAUGUCUGUAUAUUUGACGCUCGCGGCAAGCAACGUGUAUUCCGUAAUGUAUUAUAAUAAUUCAUCUUAUUGAAAUUAUUUAAAUAAAUUGUUUACGUUAAU
Vanessa atalanta (red admiral) is the source of this 8524-nucleotide RNA transcript. It is a transcript of the gene named protein transport protein Sec16A, with no coding region annotated. The record is from RefSeq and is a predicted model, not a curated record. NCBI's taxonomy places the organism in Eukaryota, Metazoa, Arthropoda, Insecta, Lepidoptera, Nymphalidae. The transcript is spliced from 26 exons.